UCGCUAUUGGGCAGAGCACACUAUGGGGCAGCCCCACACGUUGCUAUGGGGCACAGCACGCUAUGGGGCAGCCCCACACGUCGCUAUGGGGCACAGUGCUCUAUGGGGCAGCCCCAUACAUCGCUAUGGGGCAGCCCCACACCUCUCGUCUUCGUUGCCGUCCAUUGGCAGACCCUACAAAGAGAAAGCAGAGCUGUGAGCCCCCACCCCACAGACCCCAUUUGGGGGGGGUCCUCACCCCCCCCCACGGCCCUAUGGGGGUCCCUAUGGGGGGGGCUGCAACCCCAUAUCUCUAUAUGGGAUUGUAA
RNAcentral lists this long non-coding RNA (308 nucleotides) under Gallus gallus (chicken). Its description in RNAcentral is "lncRNA (ENSGALG00010000764.1)". The record is from RNAcentral. Lineage: Eukaryota; Metazoa; Chordata; Aves; Galliformes; Phasianidae.